Molecule: non-coding RNA, 1686 nt
Organism: Lactuca sativa (garden lettuce)
Lineage: Eukaryota; Viridiplantae; Streptophyta; Magnoliopsida; Asterales; Asteraceae
Source: RefSeq, a predicted model, not a curated record
UUCCAUAGCAUUUUGACAUUUUCCAUACUAAAAAUAACCCGCCUAAAUUUCAUGAAAUUUAUUGAAAAUAGCGUCAUUUCCAUAUUUCCAUUCCCACCUUAAUUUCUCUCCUAUGGGACCAAACACAACGAGAAAUCCCUAGUUACCAUGUUAUCUCCUCCUGACGACACACCACCAGAGCAAAAUUACGCUGCUUGUUCUAUCACCAAUGAUGCACUAUACCAGUCUAUGUGGCGUAAGUUUGUCCCUUUUACUUUUAAAAUUUGCAAUCGUCUUUAGUAAGUUGAAUCUUUACCGAUACUGAUAUAGUCUUGAAGAGUUUAAUUUAGGGUUUCUUCACUAAUUAAUUUCACACUGCCGACUUAGCCAGACUAUCAAACCAAUCAAGUAAUCAACCAUACUUCUUCAUUUAAUCAAAUGCAAUUUCGAUUUUCAAACUCACAAACCUCUUACAAAUAUGAUUUUGAAUUCACAGAAAUAGAGAAUCGAAGAGUCACUCAUAGGGAAGAGCUACUUUUAAAUAUAUCGACAUUAUUGUUGUUUCUAUUUGUUGUUGUACACCAAAACAAUGAAAUGUGUAUAUGUCAUUGAUUAAGUGUUACUUUUAUGCUAUUAAUAAACUUUACAUCUUAAAAUAAGAUACAACUUCAUCUGAAACCAACUUUGUUCUGCUCAAUAUGUGAAAAGUUAUAUGAAAAAUCAUUGUGUGAUUUCAUUUCAACAAGUGAAAACUAUCAAUGUGUUUUAUCUGUUUAUUUUUGUCUAAGUGUGAUAUUGUUCAAGUGUUACUUCUAAGUGCGAUAUUGUUCAAGUGUUACUUCUGUGUUAGGAAUGAAAUGUACAUCUCAACAAGUUAAAGGUAUAAGUAAAACUCAUAUAACCUUCUUAUUAAUAUUAUUUUCUACAUACGAACUAAGCUUUUGUUUUUUACAUUGCAUAGGACUAGCGGAGUCCCAAGUCUUAUGGAAUACAAGGUUUGUGAGAAGCUUAAUUUAUGCUACUAGUGGAAAGAAGUAUAAAAAGUAUAUGCAUAUGGCAAAGGAACACUUACUAGUGUAGCAUCCCACUUUCAUUUCUCUGCUGAUCAAUAUGGAUCCUGGUUCGAUUUUCUGUCUCAUAGACAAUAGUGUCUACCAUUGGUAUAGUUUUUCAAUAUAUUUGUCCAUUUUAUUAAUUUUUAUUGAUAUACUAUCCUACUUUUUUCUUCCCCAUAAAUGGUUGCAGACAUGGAUUCUUCUACACCUCAUAGUCACCAUUUUAUUGCACGAAAGGUUGCAUGGAGUUUUGAAAAGGAACUAAAAGGCAUAAGAAGACUGAGGCUGAUAGAAUUGAUUGUGAGUGCUGGUAAAUUUUGGGAAGUGAUAUACAUGCACUCAAGAUCAUCAUGUUUGAAGAUUAAGGAUUAAGUGUGAUGAUAAUCUUUAUGGACAUUUAUCAACAAGAAGCAUAUGGGUCUUUGUAUUAACAUCUAGUCUAAUUAGGUUGUACAUACUUUCUUGUUUUAAGCGAGCAACGUGAACAUAUUAAUCCUCGUACGAAAUGGGGUGUAGCAAAGAGUUUGGUGUUGAAAUCCUUCAAAUGGGGUACAUAUGUUAACAUCUUGUUAAAUGUUGGAUCCUAGUGUUAUUAGAUGUAAAUAUGUAGAAAUUCAUUGCAAAUUAAUAAAAGGAUUUAUUUAUUUGUGUA